GGAAAUCCUGGAUCCGUCAAUGAUAUGGGAGAAGACAGAUGGGAUCUAUGAAAUACAGCAUACGUUUAUUUGAAGAUAAUGGGCCUACUGCUUGGUGGUUUAUUGGAUUGUGAAAAGUGACACUGGAUUAACGAAUUACCAGAGCAAUCCAUUCCAGGACAGAUUAUGAAAGCUGCUUUGCUCUUGUUGAUUUUAAUAUCUUAUGAUAUACAAAUACAGAUUAAGUAUUAAAAAUAAAAUAAAAGUCUUCAACACCAUG
Long non-coding RNA from Ostrea edulis (European flat oyster), 259 nucleotides. RefSeq lists it as uncharacterized. The transcript is spliced from 2 exons. NCBI's taxonomy places the organism in Eukaryota, Metazoa, Mollusca, Bivalvia, Ostreida, Ostreidae. The record is from RefSeq and is a predicted model, not a curated record.